GACACGUACAAACCUUAUCGAUAAACAAUUGGAGGGCAAGUCUGGUGCCAGCAGCCGCGGUAAUUCCAGCUCCAAUAGCGCAUAUUAACGUUGUUGCAGUUAAAAAGCUCGUAGUUGAAAUGAAGGGAGUUGUGUAAUGAAUACAUUCGUGUAUUUUGUUAUUCAACUACCCUCCUUCUAAAUUCGAUAUAUGAGUAUUAAUUUACUUGUAUAUGGUUUUAGACGUUUACUGUGAGAAAAUUAGAGUGUUCAAAGCAGGCAUUUGCUUGAAUAUAUUAGCAUGGAAUAAUCAUGUAUGAUUUUCAUGAUGUAUUUGAUUGGUUUGGUUCAUGAGAAUAAGAUUAAAAGGGACAGUUGGGGGUAUUCAUAUUCAAUAGUCAGAGGUGAAAUUCUCGGAUUUAUGGAAGAUGAACAAGUGCGAAAGAUUUUACCAAGGAUGUUUUCAUUAAUCAAGAACGAAAGUUAGGGGAUCGAAGAGGAUUAGAUACCCUCGUAGUCUUAA
RNAcentral lists this ribosomal RNA (502 nucleotides) under Blastocystis hominis. RNAcentral describes it as "bacterial SSU rRNA". It matches the Rfam family "Eukaryotic small subunit ribosomal RNA", at positions 519 to 1029 of the family's 1831-position model. The record is from RNAcentral. Lineage: Eukaryota; Bigyra; Opalinata; Blastocystidae.